UGGUCCUGCGAUUCUGGAACCAGAUUUUGACCUGCGUCUCGGUGAGGCUGAGAGACAGCGCGAGGUUCAGGCGCUCGCACACUGACAGGUAGCGCGUGGCCGGAACUUGUUCUCCAAGGCCACCAGCUGCUCGUAGGUGAACGCGUUUCAGAUUUGUGCGGGGCCGGAUCGAUAGAUGUCAUCUAUUAAAGGUAACCGGGCGCACGGCAGGGAGCGCUGCGCGGGUGAAUUUCUGUGGGUCCAGGAUGUCCAGGACAGAGAAAGAAAUCUUGUGGUGGGAGGGAGCCGCCUUGGCCCCGCCGUCCUGCCAUGCCAGCAUGCCGUCGCCCACGGGCCGGCGGUCGGCGGCGCGGGGUUGGGGAUGGCGCCGCUCGGGCUUUCCUUCGGCUGUGGCUUGGCGGUAGCUUUCCAGCCAGGAGCCGG
RNAcentral lists this non-coding RNA (423 nucleotides) under Pan troglodytes (chimpanzee). The record is from RNAcentral. Lineage: Eukaryota; Metazoa; Chordata; Mammalia; Primates; Hominidae.